UACAGAGGGGGCAAGCGUUGUUCGGAAUUACUGGGCGUAAAGGGCGCGUAGGCGGCCUGCUAAGUCGAACGUGAAAUCCCUGGGCUCAACCCAGGAACUGCGUCCGAUACUGGUUGGCUUGAAUCCGGGAGAGGGAUGUGGAAUUCCAGGUGUAGCGGUGAAAUGCGUAGAUAUCUGGAGGAACACCGGUGGCGAAGGCGACAUCCUGGACCGGUAUUGACGCUGAGGCGCGAAAGCGUGGGGAUCAAACAGG
RNAcentral lists this ribosomal RNA (253 nucleotides) under uncultured bacterium. RNAcentral describes it as "partial 16S ribosomal RNA". It matches the Rfam family "Bacterial small subunit ribosomal RNA", at positions 524 to 776 of the family's 1533-position model. The record is from RNAcentral.